AAACGUUAAUUUCGUGCAGGCCUUCAGGGCCUCCUUUCUCAAAGCACUAAGGUUGUCUUAAGUCACUAAGGUAACCUUAGUGCAAAGUUAAAGAAUGGGAGUUAAGGUUAACCUUAGUAAAGGUUGCUUCGUGAAAGGAGCCC
This is a long non-coding RNA of Haliotis rubra (blacklip abalone), 143 nucleotides long. RefSeq lists it as uncharacterized. The transcript has 4 exons. The record is from RefSeq and is a predicted model, not a curated record. NCBI's taxonomy places the organism in Eukaryota, Metazoa, Mollusca, Gastropoda, Lepetellida, Haliotidae.